This 21-nucleotide microRNA is filed under the name Medicago truncatula (barrel medic). Its description in RNAcentral is "mtr-miR5229a". Lineage: Eukaryota; Viridiplantae; Streptophyta; Magnoliopsida; Fabales; Fabaceae. The record is from miRBase by way of RNAcentral.
UUAGCAGGAAGAGUGACUAUG